CGCUGCGGCCGUGGCCCGGGAGGGGCGGCGGCGGCCGCGCGGGUGGGGAGCGGCGUCAGCGCGUCGCCGGCCGGGCCGCGCCGGUGGCCGGGAGGGAGACGCGGAGAGGAGGAGGCGGAGGAGUCGGAGGAGGAGGAGGUGGUGACAAAGAUGAUAAAAAUCCGUUCGAGAAUUUAUUUGUGACAUCUGCAGCAGGUUCAGAUCUCUCAGCUAUAAGACAAACUGGAUACCUCCUAAAGAUUUUCAUCUGUUACGCACAGAGAGCCAAAAUCCGUUACUGAAAUUGUCUGGGUGAGCUGCCUUCUGGGUCCUUUGAUGCACUAGUAGACAAAGAAGUUGAAAAAGAAAGCUACUGGAUGACUGGCAGAAUGUGACACCAAUAUGGCAUCAAGAAGCCCUACUAUGAGUCCAAGGAUUUUGACUAUGACUAAAUAAAAUUGACCUUUUUUUUUUGUUUUUUUUUUGUGGGGUGGGGGUAGUUGAAGUAAAUUUGAUAUUUAUUUGGGAAAUGUGUAAUGUAUUCUCAUUCCAUAGUGAUACAUGGUAAUUGCUUUGGUAAUCAAUCUUUAAAGUUAUGGAAGUUAUGUAGUUAUACUUUUUAUUAUUGGAUUCUCUUACCACAAAGCAAAUACUCUAAAGACAAACAUUUGCUUAACCUAAAAAUGUUAACCAAAAAAGAUUGAUUUAAGGUCUAUGAUUUUCACAUAGAAAUUUUUACUUAGGGCAUUUUAUUUAUAAAAAGUUACUGUACCCAGAACUUUCUAGGAAAACAUCCUUUUCUGUAGUUUCUUGAAAGUCAGUAGGAAAACAUACUGUAUAGUAUUAAUAUAGAACAGUUAAUAAAUUAAUAACUUCAUUAAAAAUAAACUAAUAACUUCAGAUCUAUUAACUAAAUUUACUUAAAAUGAUUUAAUGAGUGAGUGUGAACUGGAAAUAAACUUAUGUAUGUAGUAAAAUUAUUGAAUCACAAGAAAACUGGAACAUCAAAGUAUUCUCUAAACCAUAUCAGUAUUUUAUUUGGUUAGAGUCCCUGCUUUUGGCAUCCAUCUAUCUACUUAGAUCACUUAUAGAGGAUUUGAAAACAGUUCUGGGAAAUGAGGUAGAUUUUCUCAAAGUUGAUUCCCAUUUUUUCUUCUUAGUGUUUAAGAAAAAACUCGGGCCAGGAUAAAAACAUAGGUUACACUUUAUAUAGUUCGUACAGUUUAUUUAAAAACAGGAAAAAAUUCCCUCAUGACUUACCUUGAAAUCUUUAUUCAAGGCCUGUACCACUCAAUUUGCCAGUGUAUCCUGCACUACAGCAUGCUUUGGUCAGAAUGCAGUGCAACUAACAUAGCCAUCCUGCCAGGAAAAGAUUUGCCGGUUGCUGAAGAGUGGAAGUUAUACAUAUCUAAUUUACAAGUCAGAUUAGAGAUCGGAAUCAUACAAUAGCUUUAUAUGGAAUUGAUUUCAUUUCUUGGUUUUAAGCUGUGUUUUUCAUGAAGCAAUGCCUUUAACUAAAAGACAGGUAUGUUGUAGUAUUUGAAUGCCUUAAAUUCUUUUAAAUCUGAAAUAUAGAAAUGUUUAGAUCCUAAAACUCAGGGAUUUUGAAAUGAAAUGCUCUGUCACUCAUUGAUUGUGCCAUUAUUGAACUGCCGAGCAGAUUUUUAUUUGGGGUUAUUGUGAUUAAUAUUUGGAAAACUUUACCAUUUUCAAAUAUAAAUUAUUUUAGGAAAGACUGUGUGUGUGCGAGUGUGUUCUUAAUUGAAGCAGCAAACACCAUUUUACCUUAUAAAUAGGCUUUAUUUAGUAAGAAAUAUAUGUAUUUAUCAUUGAUAGGCAUUUAAACCAGGAAUUAUGUUGUGGUUUUCUGGGGAGAGGACAUAAAAUAGAGUACUUUAUAGUUUUCCACUAUUAUUUUUUCUUAAAGUAAACCUUCAAAAAAUAUUGCAUAAAGAAGAAUGCAUAAAUAUAACAAUAGGUUUCAGGUAUUUUUACUUUUCUUGUUCUUACUGAAAUUGGGAAGACAUAAAAAUGGAUAUGAAAAACUAUUUCCCUGCAGCAAGGAAGUGCUGUUUAUUGGAAUUUGAAAACAGUUGCAGAAAAGCUUCUGAGUUAAUUUUUUAGGUAGGUCUUGAGCCAAUAAUUGAUUUGAGUAUAACCAGGAGAAGAAAAUACAGGUGUUUCAAACUAGGUUUAUAUCAGUAGUCAAAACAUUUAGUGUUAUCCUUUCUCAUUCCCACCACGUGGUAUGGUCUCAUUAAUUUAUUUCUAAGUAUGAUAAAUCAUUGGGAUUUAGAGAGUAUCUUGACAAUUCAACAGUUACAUCUUUUUGUCCACUAUCUUUUACAUAGGACUAGUUUAGUUUUAUUUAUAGGACAUGAGAAAGGUAGUGAUCCUGACUUUUAUGGAACGACUUUGAAUAAAGAUUAAUGUAAAGUAAGGAUGUAGUAGGAAUGCUUUACUGUGUUUAUGUUAAUAAAGCAGUGACAGUUUAGGUGGUUCCUUCCUUUGCUGCCUUUCUCCUUUACUUUACUUCAUAACCACUGGUUAAAGCUCCUUUUCCUUAGAGCGAGGGGGAAGUAAUUUUGUGAAUGGAGAAAGUGAGUGGAAUGUAAAAGGGAAAGGAGGAUUAUAAAUGUGAUGGGCAAUACGAAAAUAGAUGAGCACUCAUUUUGAAUUGAUAAGGGUGCUAAAGUGAGGAUAUCAUUGGAAUACAGUGGUUUAUUAUUACUAAGUGCUUAUUUAUUGAAAGCAUCCUAUAUACUAGACAUUGUGUAAAUUACUUCUAACUCUUCCCACACCUUGAAAGCUGAUAAAGUUAUCCCAAUUUCCUGAUGAAACUAGAAGCUAAGUGGCAUACCCAAGGUUUCAGAGGAACAAGAUAGCCUUAUAGCUUGUGGCUGAUUUUUAUGCAGUGACCGUUACUCUCCAGUGAUUGAUAAAUGAAUGAAUAAAUAAAAAUUGUGAAAGACCAGUAUACAUUAUGGGAAAAUUUUAAGACUAAUGGCUUUUAAUAUGAAUGACUUCAUGUUGGUAUUAUAGAAAGAUGUUGGGCCUAUUGAUAUAUUUGCGAUUAUUAUAUCUAAACUCUAGAAUUCUCCCACUGUCUUUUGUAUUGCCUUUGAUAUUAGUUAAUAUAGUAUUUCAUAGGUGUAUUUUCAAAUAUAAUUGAUGCCAUCAUACAAUAGUAUUACAGGAAGGGUCUGUGAUAAUGAGCUACAACAGCAACUAAUAUGCAGUAGAUCAAGAGCUGAAUUGGAUUCAGCUCCAAACAUCAUAUUUAGAAGAAGUUCUUGAAAGCAGUCUAAAACAGCCAAAGGAGACUACCUAAGAAUUUGAUGUACAGGAAUAAUAAUGGUGGAUAAUGGUGUCAUGAAGCCCAUUAAAAUGAGAACUGAAUGUUUACAGGCGUUUACAAGCAGAUAAGUAUAGCCCUGAACAAAAGAUCAUCCCCUUAAAAAGGAUACAUUCAAUCACAUGUUGAUUCAGUGGAUAGAGCGACAGUCUGCACACUGAAGGAUCUUGGGUUCGAUUCUGGUAAAGGGCACAUGCCUGGGUUGUGGGCUUGAUCCCCAGAAAGGGGCAUGCAGGAGGUAGUUGAUUGAUGCUUCUCUCUCAUCUCUUUUGAGUUUCUAACUCUCACUCUCUUUUCCUCUCAGUAAAAAUAAAAUAUAUUAAAAAAGAAACCCACAAAAAAGCAGUGUGGUAUAGUAGCCUAAAUGUGAACAGCAUCUUAGGAAUAUUGGGACAAAGACAGGGACACAAUAACUGAAAUUAUUUCAUACAACAUGUUAGAAAAAAUGUUAAUUGCUUGAAAAUAUAGAAAAAAAAAUUAGCAAAUAGGUUAUAGGCAAACAAGGCAGUUGGACAAAGAGUAAGAAGUAAGGAGGGUUAUUCAAGAGUGAAGUGGUUGUGCGAUAUUCCUAGAUAGAAUUUUACUCAAAAAAGGAGAAAACCUGGGAAGAGAAAUCAGGAAAAGUGAUUUAGAAAUAGGUAGCACUGAAAGAGGGUAGUAAGCUCCUCAAAGAUGGCUAGUAGGCAGAAAAAAUAUUGAAAUGAAGUUGUAUUCAUAUUUUAUGGUAAUCAAAAGUAACCACCUGUUUUAGAAAAGACAGGCUGGUUAUUAUUCCUGUUCAUUCUGUGAACUAUUUCUGUUCAUUUUAUUUUACUAUAGGCUAUUUUUCAAUAUUUUAUCCUUGUAUUCUUGUGACAUUGGGUAAACACUUUGGACUUGGGCUUGUGUUUUAGAAUAUGGUUUAGCUUAUUUUAAGGAUUUUUUUUUAAUGAUUGUUACCAAUAUAUAUUCAGCUUUUGGCAAGAAAUUAUACUUUGUGUUAAUUGGGUAUCCAUGAUAUUCAGGAAGAAGAUAUCAAAUGAGAUUUUUAAAAAAUAGAUAUUUUUAUCGAUUUUAGUGAGGAAGGAAGAGAGAGAGAGAGAGAUAGUAACAUCAAUGAUGAGAGAGAAUCAUUGAUUGGCUGCCUCCUGCAUGCCCCUCACUGGGGAUUGAGCCCACAACCCAGGCAUGUGUCCUUAACCGGGAAUCAAACCAUGAUCUCCUUGUUCAUAGGUCAAUGCUCAACCACUAAGUCACACCAGUGGGGCAGAUUUAAAUCAGUUUUAUUGGUUGUAAUUUAUAUAUUAAAAAUCCAGUUAAUAAAUUUUGACAUGUGUGUAGAUCCAUCUAACUAUUCACAUUCAAGAAAUUUAAUAUUUUAACACUCCUAAAAGUUCCCUAUGUCUCUUUUCAAUUAGUCCUUCCCCCUCCUCCCCAUAGACAACUACUGUUCUGAUUUCUAUUCUUGAUUUAGCUUGUUCUUGAACUUUAUCUACAUGGAAUCAUUAGAGUAUUACUAUUUUGUACCUGGCUUCUUUUCCUCCACAUAAUGGUUUUGAGAUAUUUUCAUGUUAUUGUGUGUAUUAGUGGUUCAUUCUGUUUUGUUAUUGAGUAGUGUUCUAUUUUAUCACAAUUUGUAUAUCCGUUAGUCUGUAAUGGAUAUUUUAUUUUAUUGGCAGUUGUGAAUAAAGCUGCUACAAACA
Molecule: long non-coding RNA, 5016 nt
Organism: Pipistrellus kuhlii (Kuhl's pipistrelle)
Lineage: Eukaryota; Metazoa; Chordata; Mammalia; Chiroptera; Vespertilionidae
Exons: 2
Source: RefSeq, a predicted model, not a curated record